CCAUGCCGCGUGCAGGAAGACGGCCCUACGGGUUGUAAACUGCUUUUGUACCGGAAUAAACCUAUCUAUGUAUAGAUAGCUGAAUGUACGGUAAGAAUAAGGAUCGGCUAACUCCGUGCCAGCAGCCGCGGUAAUA
Molecule: ribosomal RNA, 136 nt
Filed under: uncultured Sphingobacteriaceae bacterium
Lineage: Bacteria; Pseudomonadati; Bacteroidota; Sphingobacteriia; Sphingobacteriales; Sphingobacteriaceae
Description: partial 16S ribosomal RNA
Rfam family: Bacterial small subunit ribosomal RNA
Source: RNAcentral